This 479-nucleotide ribosomal RNA is filed under the name uncultured bacterium. RNAcentral's name for it is "partial 16S ribosomal RNA". It matches the Rfam family "Bacterial small subunit ribosomal RNA", at positions 899 to 1397 of the family's 1533-position model. The record is from RNAcentral.
ACUCAAAGGAAUUGACGGGGGCCCGCACAAGCAGCGGAGCGUGUGGUUUAAUUCGAUGCGACGCGAAGAACCUUACCCAGACUUGACAUGGUCGGGCAAGCCGGGGAAACCCGGUCCUCCGCAAGGACCCGAUCACAGAUGUUGCAUGGCUGUCGUCAGCUCGUGUCGUGAGAUGUUGGGUUAAGUCCCGCAACGAGCGCAACCCUCGUGCUAUGUUGCGUAUCAUAGCAGACUGCCGGUACAAGCCGGAGGAAGGUGGGGAUGACGUCAAGUCCGCAUGGCUCUUACGUCUGGGGCUACACACACGCUACAAUGGCCGGGACAGAGCGCAGCCACGUCGCGAGGCGGAGCGAAUCGCGAAACCCGGUCUCAGUUCGGAUGGCAGGCUGCAACCCGCCUGCCUGAAGUCGGAGUUGCUAGUAACCGCGUGUCAGCAUAGCGCGGUGAAUAUGUUCCCGGGCCUUGCACACACCGCCCGU